AGCUUUGCACAGUGGCGGUAUCGUAACCAAUGAGGUUUAUCCGAGGCACAAUUAUUGCUAAUUGAAAAACAUAUGCCACAGGGGCC
Molecule: small nuclear RNA, 86 nt
Organism: Heterocephalus glaber (naked mole-rat)
Lineage: Eukaryota; Metazoa; Chordata; Mammalia; Rodentia; Bathyergidae
Gene: U4
Rfam family: U4 spliceosomal RNA
About the family: U4 small nuclear RNA (U4 snRNA) is a component of the major U2-dependent spliceosome.
Source: Ensembl